Camelus dromedarius (Arabian camel) is the source of this 20210-nucleotide long non-coding RNA. RefSeq lists it as uncharacterized. The record is from RefSeq and is a predicted model, not a curated record. Lineage: Eukaryota; Metazoa; Chordata; Mammalia; Artiodactyla; Camelidae. The transcript is spliced from 7 exons.
UCCGCCCCUCGGCCGGUGGACCCCAGGGCGACAGUGUGGGAGGAGCGCGGAGGCGGCGGCUGGAGCCGAGCAGCGCACGGGAGGGCGCCACGCAGCCUGAUUCCCGGCCUCCGGUCAGAGCCCGCUGUGCAGUCCUCGGGCAGACAGUUUACAGAAGAAUCAAGACUUGGAAUUUGAAAGAAACAGAGAUCGAUUUGAAUUUUUAAAGUUCUAGUGGGGUUCUCAGUCCUUUUGCAACAUGCAGAUUAUUCCCCCUGGCUCAGGAGUCAUCCACCAGGUGAGUCUGGAGUAUUUGGCAAGAGUGGUAUUUGAUCAGGAUGGAUACUAUUACCCAGACAGCUUCGUGAGCAUGGACUCGCAUACCACUAUGAUUGAUGGUUAGGGCGUUCUCGGUUCGGUUGAGUGUUCUGCAUUCCUAGUCCACAUACAUUGUCCUAUGGCACAUAUUAUGAUUUACUCUGAUACCAUUAUAUCCAGGAGCAUGAAUUUGAGUGACCACAAGUAUCAGAGAGGUAUUUUUGUCUGUUUUGUGUACUGCUGUAUUUCUAGAACCCAGAAAAUUGUCUCGUGCCUAUUAGGCACUCAGUAUAAUUUCUGGAAGAAUGAACUGGAAUAAGGGGUUGGGGACAUUUAGAAAGAAAAUCAUCUGGGUUGUUUGUUAAACACGGAUAUUCUGGAACCCCCAUUCUCCUUUUUAGCAUCGAAUCGAGGAAAUUUUGAUACAGGUGUUUGGAGGACCACACUUUGAGAAAUUCUUAUUAAACUUCUGUAAAGGGGAACAGAGAAAAGACAACUGCUCUUUAUGAAAACUUAACUCUAUACUAGUAAAACGCUGUUACUGGAGGAAGAGAGAAAAUGGCGGAGUAGAAGGACGCUUGCAGCUCACCCUCUCCCACAAAUGCACCAAGACCCACAUCCACAGACCCACUCAGCCAACCAGAGCACCUGCAGAACUCCGACAGAACAUUGCCCUCUUCAAAAGAUAAAGACGCCAAUAAUCUGGUAGGAGAAAAGGAAAAAAGAAAGAACAAAAGGCAAAGCAGAGUGGGGCGGGUCCUGCAGGGAGGGAGUGGCAAAGGAGGACUGGCCGUGCUCCUUCGCUGGGUCUCCUCUCUCCAACUGAGAGGCCAGUGGAACGGAGGGGGAGCUUCCAAGGCUUAGAUCUAUACGGAGCAGCUCUUCACUGACAGAAGUAAGUUAAACGGGCACAGAGCAUCCCCCCGAAACCCAGCCUGAGAUGCGGGCCGGCAGCUGUGGGCAGGGCCAGGCUGCCUGAGCCAGGCGGAGGAAGGGGGUGGCUGCAUUGAGGCAGCCCCGGGGGACUGCAAGGGGCUGCGUGCCAUGGCUGUGGGUGUACAGGGCAGAACAACCUGGGCCCUCCAUAAAACAACACGGUUGAUGUGCCCUGGGGGAAAGGGUGCAUACCCCCAUCUCUGAAAACCCGCAGAAAGUUUUCAGGGGAAGAGGGAGGGGCCUCAGGCACAGCCGCCAUAUCCUCCAGCGCUUGGCAUCCACGUGGGGGCAGGGGCAAAACCUGCAUCCACACUGAAGGGCUUAGCAACAUCAGAGGCCAGACUGAGACUUGUCUACAGCCCGAGGCAGAUAGGAUCCUUCCAUCCAGGUCCCUCAGAGAACUUGCUCCACAAAGACAAACAAGGAGAUGAGUUUUGGCCUGGAGCAGGGACAAGGCUGUCCCUAGGUCUUCCCUGAGCCCAUCUGUGGAGUGCCGACCAGGGCGGAGCGUGCAGCCACAAAGAGCAGCAGAGCUACCGGUGCCAGGAGAGGGGUAGUGGCCCCCCGCAUUUCAGGCAGGAACACAGCCCCUGACCGCGGUGUUGGGAGGGGGUGUGACCCACCCUCCUACCUGGCCAGUCUGCAACAUCUGACUGCGGCAUUGGGAGGGGCAGUGACCCGCCCGUCCACAGCAAAGCAGAGCUGCACCUGACCCCGUUUUAGGAGGAGGCGCGAUCUGCUUGCCGACAGGUACUGGGAGCAGCACAGAAGAGGGUGCCAAUGGAGAGCCUCUGGAAACAGCAAGCUGAGCUUCCAAAACAGGAUGAAGACAGAAAGACUUCACAUUAAAAGCACACAGAAUCCAGGAGAACACCGACAUCCCUCCCCCUUUUUUUUUAAAUCUGUUUUUACCUGUUCUGUUUUCUACUACCCUCUUAAUUUUAACUUCUUAAUUCAUUUCUAUUUCUCUUGGGUUUUGAUGUCCUGUUAUUGAUUAGACACAGGUUUCAAAUACAUCUUUUCACCUUUUCCCCUUUUUGUUAAAGGUUUUAAAAGGACGUCUCAACCCGAUUGAUAUUCUGCUUCAACUCACUCUUCUUUAUUCAUUACACACUGUUUUCAAACCUUCUUUCUCCCUUCUUUAAAAUUCUUUCUCUCUCUUAUUUUUUUUCUUUUAUUCCUAAGUCUUGUUUCUAAAUAGGCAUUAGCUAGAUAAACUCCUUAAGGACCAAACAGAUAACUGAUACUCCAUAAACCACAGUGCCAGAGAGGUAUGAGCAAGAUGAAGAAGCAGAGAAACCUUUCCCAAUUAAAAGAACAAGAGAAAUCCUCUGAAAGAAAGAUCAAUGAAAUAGAUAUCAAUAGCCUACUAGAUCAAGAUUUCAAAAAAGGAGUGAUCAAAGUGCUGAAGGAAUUAAAAGAGAUAGUGUUUAGAGAUAUAAAAUAUGUCAAAAAUGAAAUUGAAGCUAUACAGAAGAGCCAAGUAGAAUGGGUAAACUCAUUGACUGAGAUGAGGAAUGAUCUAAUAGUUGUGCAAAGCCAACUAGAUAAUGAAGAGGAACAAAUUAGUGACCUAGAAGAUAGGACAAUAGAAAGCACCCAUUCAGAAGAGCUACAAGAGAAACAAAUAAAAAAAAAUGAAAAUAGCAUAAGGGAACUAUGGGAUAAUAUAAAGCAUCUCAAUCUUCGCAUAAUAGGGGUCCCAGAAGGGGGAGAAAGAUCAAAGGGGAACAAAGAGGAUAUACCAAUUCAACUAAAAAGAUAAGUUCAAAAUGGCAAUAAACACACAUCUAGCAUUAAUUACUGUAAAUGUUAAUGGACUAAAUGCUCCAGUCAAAAGACAUAGAGUGGCAGACUGUAUACUAAAGCAAGAACCUUCAAUAUGCUGCAUACAAGAGACCCACUUUAGGGAGAAGGACAAAUAUAGAUUGAGAGUGAAAGGAUGGAAAAGGAUAUUCCAUGCAAAUGGAAAAGCCGAAAAAGCAGAUGUUGCAGUACUGAUUUCAGACAAAAUAGACUUUAAAACAAAGGGCAUAAAGAUAAAUAAGGACUUUUAUAAUGAUUAAAGGAGUGAUACCAGAUGAGGAUAUUACACUCAUUAAUAUAUAUGCACCCAAUAUAGGAGCACUUAAGUACAUACAAGAAUUACUAACAGAGAUAAAGGGGGAUAUUGAUGGGAAUACAAUCAUAGUUGGAGAUUUUAACACUGCAUUAACAUCACUAGACAGAUCUUCCAGACAGAAAAUAAACAAGGCAACAGAGAAAUUAAAUAAUACAAUAGAAAAACUACAUUUGGUGGAUAUUUUCAGAGCAUUACAUCCCCCCAAAAUAGGAUAUACAUUCUUUUCAAGUGCACAUGGAACAUUUUCUUGGAUCGAUCAUGUAUUUGGGCACAAAAGAAACCUCAACAAUUUUAAGGAGAUAGAAAUUAUCUCAAGCAUCUUUACUAACCACAAUGCCAUGAAACUGGAAAUCAACAACAGAGAAACAAAGGAGAAAAAAAGGAAAGCAUGGAGAUUAAACAAUAUGUUAUUGAAAAAACAAUGGGUCAAUGAGGAAAUCAAAGCUGAAAUUAAAAUAUAUCUUGAGAUAAAUGACAAUGAAAGCAAAACCACUCAAAAUCUAUGGGACACAGCAAAGGCAGUGCCAAAGGGAAGCUUAUAGCGAUACAGGCCUUCCUCAAAAAAGAAGAACAAUCUCAAAUAAACAAUUUUACCCACCACCUGAAUGAAUGAGAAAAAGAAGAACAAAAAGCCCCAAAAAGCAGCUGAAGGAAGGAAAUAAUAAAGAUCAGAGAGGAAAUAAAUACAAUAGAGAAUAACAAGACCAUAGAAAAAAAUCAACCAAACCAAAAGCUGGUUUUUUGAAAAAGUAAAUAAAAUUGACAAACCUCUGGCUGAACUCACAAAGAAGAAAAAAGAGACAGCACAAAUUAUCAAAAUAAGAAAGGGAAAUGAAGAAAUUACAACAAAUAAAAUAGAAAUACAGAAUGUCUUACAAGAAUAUUAUGAAAAACUAUAUGGAACCAAACUGGAUAACCUAAAUGAGAUGGAGAAGUUUCUGGAAAUAUACUGUCCACCAAGACUGAAUCAAGAAGAAACUGACCACUUGAAAAAUCCGAUCACUAGAAAGGAAAUACAAAUAGCAAUUAAAAACCUCCCUACAAAUAAAAGUCCAGGACCGGACGGCUUCACCGGGGAAUUCUACCAAACAUACAAUGAAGAACUCAUACCAGUCCUUCUCAAACUCUUCCAGACGAUUGAAAAUGAGGGACUACUCCCAAACUCAUUCUAUGAAGACACCAUCACCCUGAUAGCAAAACCAAGCAAAGACACUACAAAAAAAGAAUUAUAGGCCAAUAUCACUGAUGAACAUAGAUGCCAAAAUCCUCACCAAAAUUUUAGCAAAUAGAAUCCAACAUCACAUAAAAAAGAUUAUACAUCAUGACCAAGUGGUGUUCAUCCCAGGGACACAAGGGUGGUUCAACAUAUGCAAAUCAAUCAGUGUAAUACAUCACAUCAACAAGAGAAAGGACAAAAACCACAUGAUCAUCUCAAUCGAUGCAGAAGAAGCAUUUGAUAAAGUUCAACACCCAUUUAUGAUAAAAAAAACUCUUGCCAAAGUGGGUAUAGAGGGAACAUAUCUCAACAUAAUAAAACCUAUAUAUUACAAACCUACAGCCAGCAUAGUACUCAAUGGUGAAAAACUCAAAAGCUUCCCACUAAAAUCUGGGACAAGAAAAGGAUGCCCACUAUCACCACUCCUAUUCAACAUAGUCCUGAAAGUCCUAGCCACAGCAAUCAGGCAAGAGAGAGAAAUAAAAGGGAUCCAAAUUGGAAAAGAAGAGGUAAAAGUAUCAGUAUAUGCCGACGACAUGUUACUAUAUAUAGAAAACCCUAAAAGGUCCACGCAAAAACUACUAGAGCUGAUUGAAGAAUUCAGCAAGGUAGCAGGUUACAAAAUUAACGUUCAAAAAUCAGUUGCAUUUCUUUACACUAUUGAUGAAUCAACAGAAAAAGAAAGUAAAGAAACAAUCCCCUUUAAAAUAGCACCCAAAGUAAUAAAAUACCUAGGAAGAAAUCUAAUCAAGGAGGUGAAAGAAUUAUAUACAAAAAACUACAAACCAUUGAUGAAGGAAAUUAAAGAAGACUUUAAAAAAUGGAAAGAUAACCCAUGAUCUUGGAUUGGAAGAAUCAAUACUGUUAAAAUGGUCACACUGCCCAAGGCAAUCUACAGAUUUAAUGCAAUCCCUAUCAAAUUCCCCAGGACAUAUUUCACAGAACUACAACAAAUCAUAAUAAAAUUUAUAUGCAACCAUCAAAGACCUAGAAUUGACAAAGCUUUACUGAAGAGAAAAAGGCUGGAGGAGUAACUCUCCUGGACUUCAGACAAUACUAUAGAGCUACAGUCAUCAAGACAGCAUGGUAUUGGUACCAAAACAGACAUAUAGACCAAUAGAACAGAAUAGAGAGCCCAGAAAUGAACCCACAAACUUUUGGUCAACUAAUCUUUGACAAAGGAGGCAAGAAUAUACAAUGGAAUAAAGACAGUCUCUUCAGCAAAUGGUGUUGGGAAAACUGGACAGCAGCAUGUAAAUCAAUGAAGCUAGAACACUCCCUUACACCAUAUACAAAAAUCAACUCAAAAUUAAUCAAAGACUUAAAAAUAAGACAAGAUACAAUAAACCUCCUAGAGGAAAACAUAGGCAAAACUUUAUCUGACAUACAUUUCAAAAAUUUUCUCCUAGAGGAAAUAAAAGCAAGUAUAAACAAAUGGGACCUAAUGAAACUUACAAGCUUCUAUACAGCAAAGGAAACCAUAAGUAAAACAAGAAGACAACCUACAGAAUGGGAGAAAAUUUUUGCAAAUGAAACCAACAAAGGCUUGAUCUUCAGAAUAUAUAAGCAGCUCAUACGACUCAAUAAGAAAAAAAAUAAACAACCCAAUCCAAAAAUGGGAAGAAGACCUAAACAAGCAAUUCUCCAAGGAAGACAUACAAAUGAUCAAAAGGCACAUGAAAAAAUGCUCAAUAUCACUAAUUAUCAGAGAAAUGCAAGUCAAAACUACAAUGAGGUAUCACUUCACACCAGUCAGAAUGGCCGUCAUUCAAAAAUCCACAAAUGACAAAUGCUGGAGAGGCUGUGGAGAAAGGGAAACCCUCCUACACUGCUGGUGGGAAUGCAGUUUGGUGCAGCCACUAUGGAAAACAGUGUGGAGAUUCCUCAAAAUACUAGGAAUAGACUUACCAUAUGACCCAGGAAUCCCACUCCUGGGCUUGUAUCCAGAAGGAAAUCUAUUUCAGGAUGACACCUGCACCCCAAUGUUCAUAGCAGCACUAUUUACAAUAGCCAAAACAUGGAAACAGCCUAAAUGUCCAUCAACAGGUGACUGGAUAAAGAAGGUGUGGUAUAUUUAUACAAUGGAAUACUACUCAGCCAUAAAAACCGACAACUUAAUGCCAUUUGCAGCAACACGGAUGCUCCUGGAGAAUGUCAUUCUAAGUAAGCCAGAAAGAGAAAGAAAAAUACCGUAUGAGAUCGCUCAUAUGUGGACUCUAAAAACCAAAAACACACCAUACAAAAAAAAGCAUAAAUACGGGACAGAAAUAGACUCAUAGAGAAUACAGACUUGUGGUUUUCAGGGGGGUGGAGGGUGGGAAGGGAUAGACUGGGAUUUCAAAAUUGUAGAAUAGGUAAACAAGAUUAUACUGUAUAGCACCCGGAAAUAUACACAAAAUAUUAUGUUAGCUCACAGAGAAAAAAAUGUGGCAAUGAGUGUGUAUAUGUCCAUGUAUGAAUGAAAAAUUGUGCUCAACACUGGAAUUUGACACAACAUUGUAAAAUGAUUAUAAAUCAAUAAAAAAUGUUUAAAAAAAAAAGUGCUGAAUUAAAUUACAAAUUAAUACUGCUAAUUUUUUGAGAGAGUGGAAACUCUCCCUGUACCAUUCAUGUUAACAUUUAAACAUUUAUAUUUUUGUUAUUUUUGUAUUAUACACAUAAUAUAAAUAAACAGUGUAUAUAUACUAUUUAUGAAUAAAUACACAAACAACAAACAAACAUUGUAGUGUGGUCAAAAUUUUUUAUCCAAUUAUACAUGAUCAAAAUAAAAUUUGGAGACCACUGCUCUUGUGAGCUGUGUUUCUGCCCCACUUCAGGAUGUUGUUCGUACUUUGCCACUUGCCUGAUAGGCUCUCAGCCUUUUUUAAUCCCUCAUCAUCAUUGCUUACGUUGGGCUUAUCCGUAUCUCAGCUUAAAUGGCACUUUCUUAGAGAAGCCUUAUCUGUCCUUCAGAAGUUAAUUACUCUGUUCUCCAGUGGCUCUUUUUCCUUCAUGUUCGUAGUACUUAGAUGCAAUAUGCAAUUCUGUGUGCAUUUCUGUGAUAUUUGCUUAACAUUUCUACACUCCAGCCCUACCAACAAAACAAAACGAAACAAAAAACUAGGCUCUCAGCUGCAGGAAGACAUAGUCCAUAUAACCUUGGUGCCUAGAAGUUUCUGACAUAUAGUAGAUGUUGAAUGAAUAUUCUAGUCAUGUGUGAAGGAAUGAAUUGUCUUUCAAACUUUGUUAUGAAUGAACACCAAUUUGAACUGGUGUUUGGGAAUCAUGAGUUAGAUUAACCUUCCCAUUUUUACAGAUAAUGCAAAAGAGAUGAAAUUAUUAUGACUAUUAAACAGUUCUGGGGUAAGAAAUUAGGUCUCCUCAUUCCUCACUGAGUUAUUAAUACUGUCAUGUUGUCUCAGUUUUUAUACCAUAUUGAUUUGGAAUCUGUGUUCUUUGCCUUCAAGUCAGUGACCGACUUCUCCAUUCCAGGAAUUAUGUUUCAUCCAGGGUUUUGUGGGUCAUGAAGCUUAUACAAUACUGGGGACCUUUUCAAGCAAAAUAAAAUAAAAUUGUAAAUACAAAAUUGGAUGAAAAACUGAGUAGGUAGAUAAAUAUGCCAGAUGUAUUUGCUACCCUGAAAGAGCUAGAAAUAAGUUAACUGGUUAUGAAGAAGUAACUGGGAAUCACAGAUACCAUCCUUCUAAAACCGGUCUGCAACUCAACCUCCUUCUGGCUAGAUCCCAGUAAUGAUUGAGGUCAUACCAAAUAGCUGCCUGAUUUGACAGGAAGAGACUUGUCACAGAGGAUAACUUGGAAAGGAAAGAGAUAGUGAUUUUUUUUCCUUCCUCAAGUCUCACUUUUUUAUUUUAUUAAAAAAAUUUUUAGAGUAUAUUUUUUAUUGGACUUAAGUCAGUAUACAGUGUUCUGUCAACUUCUGGUGUAUAGCACAAUACUUCAGUCAUAUAGGAACAUAUAGCUAUUUGUAUUCAUAUUAUUUUUAACCAUAAGUUACUACAAGAUAUUGAAUACAGUUCCCUGUGCUAUACAGUAUAAACUUGUUAUCUAUUUUAUAUAUAGUAGUUAGUAUCUACAGAUCUCAAACUCCCAAUUUAUCCCUUCCCACCCCCUUCCACUGCCUCCAUAACCAUAAGUUUGUUAUCUUAACUAACUUUGGUUAACAAACUUAUUUUGCAAAUUUUUCAAGAUGUAUGAUCAUAUGAACACAUUGUUAGAGCCUCUCCCAGGAUCCUGGAAGGAAACUGUAGAAACAAAGAACCUUUAAAAUUAAUCUUACAGUUUUAUAAUAAACACUCCUCUGCAUGUAUGUUUUGUGUAAUAGCUUAACAAGUUUGCUCUCCUUGGCCUGUCCCAUUUGUUCUUCCUCUGUACUGUGUAUGCCCAGAAAAUUGAAUUUAUCAAACUACCAGGUUUCUAACACCAUCUUACUAACUGGUCCACUCUUUUUCCCACCCUCCUAUUGAUUGAUUUAUUUUGGUUUUUCCCCUUUGGGAUUUCUGUUCACAUUUAGAGGAAAACUAUGUCAUGAAUUCUGAACAUUUGAAAGCUUCUCUGGAGAGACUUUUCAACUCUGAGUCAAGUUCAAAACCUUUACAGCUCUCCCAGCAGAAAAUGGCACACUUUAUUAUUCCUAGAGCUCAAAUGCUACAUAUAUGUAUAUUCAAGAUGUAACAUUGAUCUUCUAACGAGUGUGUGUUCUCUUUCAUGUGGAGGGAAGUUAAAAGUUAGAAACAGCAGGAGAGAAGCCCGGUUGUCUUACAGUCAGCAGGCAAGUCUACAUGCUAUCCAUCAGGCCUGAGCAGAGCAGGAGGGGAAGAGCAGGAAGUCAGACUGAAGUUGAAUCUUGGCCUUGGAGAGCCCUGGAUAUAGUAACAGUAGACGGAGGACGGGUCAGGAUGCACUCCAGAGGAUUUUCUUUGCUAAGAACUCAUGUUUUGGAGGAAAUAAACUCCUUCCCCGACUCUACAAAUGAUGCCUAUGGCUCAGGCCAAGAGACUUCAGCAUAAGCUCACGUCCUGGACACAUUAUUAGUUCAAAAUGACAGUGACCGAACGUCUGGGGCUUGGGCUCCAGGGGCAGGUUUCAGCACUGACAGCGCAGCUGCAGGGAUCUUGGUGGCAACGCCUGGCGGUGCUUCUGAGUCCCGCUGCCCCAGCGAUGGCCCCAGUACCUGGGACUUGUCCUUCUGGCCCUGCACCCAACAUCCGAUCCAGCCCAUUGGACUUGUACACCUGCUUCUUCUCUGACCUCUGGUUUCGUGAAAGAUAAUCUCAGGACACCGUCAGCUCAACAGUUACAGAACUACUGUAGUCGCGUCUUCAGGAAUUGCUUGCUUUUUAAGGAUGAAAAUGCUGGAGGCAAACACUGUUUAACAGGCAAGCCUCCUGUGGCAAUAUUUGGAGUCGCAUCCUGCCAGAUUUGGAUUACAGACAGCCCAUAUGAUGUCUCAUCCAACAUUUCAAGGAGAACUUAAGCUAUGUUCCCUAGAAUGUAAUGGGACAGCUAUAUUUAUCUAAAUAAGACUUCCCAGUGUAUAACACAGCUACCUUGAAGCAUGACUGCACCAACACCGUGCUCAUGUUAGGUUUAUACCAAGAAGACAGCCAAAGCACAUGAAGACAUUCUGCAGUGGCUACAGACUCCAGGACUCCUGGAAAAACCACAUGUGGUUUUGUAUUAAGUUUUGAAGGAAUGGUGUUGAUUCUUGGAACCAAAUGUUUUAUUCUAUUUUAUUUUAUUUGGGGUAAUUAUGUUUGUUUGUUUGUUUCUUUCUUUCUUUAUGGUGGAGGUGCUGGGGAUUGAACCCAGAACCUUGAUGCAUGCCAAGCAAGUGCUCUACCACUGAGCUAUACCCUCCCACCCCUCCAAAAUUGUAUGUCUCAUUGUCAUAAUUAAGUCUUCUGUGUAGAAUGAAUAGAAUGUAAAAUCUAUACAUGCUUUAAACUUCCUAAAGGUUGAAUUUGCAUCUAUUUUACACUGAUAUUUUUGCAGUUAAUUUAUUUGUCAACAAUAGUAAUUUUGUUUAACUUUUUUGUCCUAUUUGUGGUAAACUCCAGAGGCAUGGAGAUCUUUACAUUUCUACAGUAAACUGUGCAGUUUAUUUUACACUUUUCAUUUAGGCCUGCGAGAAACAUUUUCUCAGAUAUGCUGAUUAGCUACUUAGCCAAGUUUUUGUCAUUUAGAGAUCUUCCCUGUUUUAUUUUGUAAUGACAGCUGUUAUGAGAUUGUCUCUGUUGAUCAGUGGAUGACUAUAAACAAAGCAGAAACAAUUGGCUCCUAAGGGUAACACCACUCACUUUUCACCAUCUACUUGCUGUGUCUUAGCUCUACCAGUAACAUAAUGUUAAGGCUUUCUUGUAGAAGAUUCUUAUAGGUAGUUCUCUAUGGAUAUUUAUACAUUUUCUUUGAAUGUGCUUAUGAUCAAUGUCAGAGGAAAAAUUUUUAUUUGUUAUAAAACAUAAGCAACAGCUAUUAAAAUUGAGAGCUAAGUAGUGUUUCCCAAAAUAGCAGUUUCUAGAAUUUCCAGGGGGGGAUUUUGAGAAACAGCUUUCCUAUGUCCUGCCCCAGACAUAUUAAAUCACACACUGUGAGGCCUCAGAAUCAUAAAAAACCCAAAAUGAAACAAACAAAAGCCCUUCCCAGUUUAGGGAGCCAUUGUUUUAAAACGGGUGGUGAUACCAAAUUUGCCAGAGUAACAGAGAGAUCUUUAGGUGUUCAUUCUUGUGUAUUCAGAGGUCAAAAUUCUAGACUCUGGGAGAAGCAAACUGAGGAUCAGGUCCUACUAAUUAGGAGAUAAAGCAGCAAAUUAAAAACAAAGCAAAAUGACUACAAAAUAGUCAAGUUAAUUGAACGAUUUGAAUCAUAAAUGUACAAGUCCUCAGAAAUGUAUAUAUUUUAUGUAACUUACAAAUUAUAGUAAAUCCAGCUAUUUUAAUCAAGAACAAGUCAAAACUGGUCACCAUAAUAAUAAUUCUUUGCAUUGGUAUGGUGAUUUGUUGUUUAAAUAUACUUUGAUAAAUAGAAUCUCUUUUGUCUUCAAAACUGAGAGAGAGACAGGGAAGUGUCUGGUAUUCUCAUUUUGAGACUCAGAGUUCUUUCCAGGAUUGCAGAGAAUUGGAGCCACGGCACAGAAAUCCCUGCAUGCUGAUCCAGUCAAUCAGAUCCCAAAUUUGAGAGGCAGAAUUUAGGAGGUUGCAUUAUCAGUUAUCUCAUGUUAUUUUAGGGUGAAUGGAAGGAUAUAAUGCAUUUAUUGUAAAAGUAAAGCUUUACAACUUAAAGGGGAGCUUUAUGUAUCUAGAAACUCUCAUUCCUCAAUGGAUUACUUAAGAGAACAAUGCUACAUCAAUGUUUAGGUUGGGAGGGAUAUUAAAGUUCAUUUAGUGUAGUUCUCUAAUUUUGUAGAUGAAGACAAUAAGACUCAGAGUCUUGUAGAGUUUGCCUAGUGAUUCAAAGCUAAUCUGACCAAUUUUGGCAAAAAAGGACAUCUUUCCUAAGUUCCAUAAUUAUGGAUUUGUUAAACAGUAAACUACAUUGGUGAGUGAUUUAUGUUAGUUCAAUUUGCUAAUAUGUUUAACUUUAAAUUUCACUUUUCUUGCAACAUAAAAUAUUUUGUAAUGCUUUAAAACAAAGUAACCUCUUUAUUCCCUAAAUAAGUUAUUGUAAAACUGUGAUAAAAUUGAUAACUUUAUGUCUAAGGGAUUUCACCCUCACCCAAAUUACAAGUUCGCUCUCUUUAUUUGAACACUAAUAAUGGCAUUUGCAAAGGAGCAGCAAAAGUAAAAUAUUUUCUUUUAGUUUCUUUGUAAAGUUUAACCGUUUUUACUUUGCGAUUAUGGAAAUAGCUAGAAAAUUACAUAAAACAAUAUUUUGAGGGCACGUUCUCCUAGUUGAUUUAAAUCACUGUGCUAACUGAAAAGUUUAAUAUUUCAGAAACUCCACAAGUUACUACAUUGAUCAGUAUCUGAUUCAUGCAUUGUGGAUAUAAAAAUGUAUUUAAGGAGAGGAAAUUGAUUCUAUGUGCUUCUUAUCAUCUGAGAAGUUAGUGAAUGUGGCAAUAUUUUAAAGGAGGGGGUAGAAAAAAAUGUUCUGCUUUAUAAUCAAAAUACUGUCUUCCUACUAUGAGGUCAUUAUUUUCUGGCACUGUGAAAUUCUUACAUGAAGAUGUUAAAGUGGAAAUAAACCAUAAUAGUUUAUAAAAUAUUUUCAGUAUGACAAUAAUCUGAAAAUAUGGGGAAAAUUGUCAUCUCUGACUCAGGUCAAACAAGACUGGGUAAAGUGUGUGUUAUGGUUCAAUGCAAAAUAAGUUUCUGUCUUACCAGAAAUUUUCUGUCAGUGAGUCUCUCUUCCUCCACUGCUGUGAAGAAAGAAGUGUAGAGCCCUUGAAAUUGUUACUAGGAUGAGUGUGGCAGUUUGGGGAUGAAGAUAACACUGCUGAAAGUAAAGAAGAAAGAAGGAGAAAAUCUGUGUCUUGAUUGACAUUCAGUUACACCUGAAUCAAAUCAGUUCCAAUGACUGGUCUCUCUUUGCUUCUACUUAUUAAAGCCAAUUAAUGCCCUUUAUUUUUUUAAGCCACUUUGAGUCGGGUUUUCUGUUGCUUAUAAAUGAGUGCCCCUUAAUGGGCAGAUCAUUUUAAACCCUUAAAUUGUACCUUAUGCUGCUUUCAUUGAUGCUGUAUUUUUCUGUGGGUUUUUAUCCAAUGAUGUGAGUGUUGUAGAGCCUGAGGCUGUAUAAGUGUACCCAUUUAUGAAUCAAACAAAUAAACCCUAGGUAUAAAAACAGCCUCCAAAGGAUUAUUCUAAAAUUCCCCUAGCAGCAUCAUGAGGAAUAAAUAUUAAUGCCUUUUAAUAGCUUUAUAGCUUACAAUUUUGACUGGCAGCAUCAUGACCAGUUUUAAAGAUGAGAGUAGAUGAAUAUUACUCAAAAGUGUAAAUUCAUGUCCAUAUCUACUCCAAAGUAAUUUCCUAAAAAUUGCAUUUGUGUUCUAGUUACUUUCCCAGGGAGUGCAUCUUUUCCUUGAGAGUGUAGGAGUAUAGUAUGAAAAGAUUUGUCAAACUUUAUUUCUUUGUAGGAAUCUUGGCUACUUGUGUAUGACCUUUAUUAUUGGGAAAGUUAAGUGAGACGGAUGGUCUAGGUCACUGGCCCAAAGCCAUCUUUUUUGAGGUCAUUUACAUCUGUCUGUCUUCAAAAUCAAGACAUUUGUUGGGAUAGCAGUUUCUGUGGGGAAUUUAUAAGCCAGGAUGCAGCUUAAAACAUGUAUUAUUUCUGAGGCUCAACUCCACCUCACCAGUUGGUUGAUAACCACUCUUUGCUCUGAAAUGUGAGUGGUUUAUAUGUUACAAACCUUGGUUCUACUCUCAGGACAUAACAGCAAGUAGUGUCAGCCAUCCAUGAAGAACAGAUCCUUAUUUUAUUUUUCCUCACUUCUCUUGAUGUUUGUAAGUAGUGACAUGACUUCUGAAAGCUUCUAAUAGCACUUGUGAGUUCUUCCAGGUUCCUUCGUCCUUUCUCACCUCUAUCACCAGCCCACAGUUCCCCUCAGCUAGUCUCUCAUCCUGUUCUGACAUUAUUGAGACUAAGCUGUGCAUACCCUAGAGUUUUGGCACGUUUUACUGUAUCUGGAGGACUGGUGAUGGUUGUGGGGCUUUAAAGUAGUCAUCUACAUGCGUUGUUGAGCAGAACUUUGGGACAUGUGGGCAUAGUGGAACAGUUCCUAAUGAAGAAAGAUCUGAAAUAUAAGUUUGAUUCAAAGUCAAUGGAUGAAAUCCAGCCAAUGGGGUAACUGGGCAUAGAAUAAUACCACUUUCUCAAAUAUCCUCUGAUCAUGAGUCAUAAAUUUAUUUUUGAACUCUAGGAUAAAGGACUAUAAAAAGAGAACAAGAACAUUGAAUUUCCUAUGUUUGUAUUCCCUUGGGAGAAAAAGUUGUGUAAUAUAUGAAUAGCAUCGAUGCCUAUGGCUUCUGCUCUGAAGGGGAACUGUGCUAGACUUCUUCCCAAUGAUUAUAAGGUUUGAGUUUUAUAAGUGAAAGUCAUUAGUACCAAUAUUGACAUAAGCAAACGUUGGACACUGGCAGUCUUGUUGUACACGUUAGCCGGCAGUGAUGGUAUUUGUGAUAGACAACAUCAGGGGCAUUUGGGGCAAUGAAAACCUAAACAAACCUAAACUGAAAUUUAAUACAGACAUACAGAAGAAAUGGAAGUAAAGGAUAGAGCUCAUUUUGUGCUUGUGAGGAUUGUGUUUUUGCAAACACAAGAAACAAUCCUUAGGGACUCUGCAGAGAGUAUAGUGAAAAAAUGUUUAUAGCUAAUGCAUGUGGAAUACCUAGCAUGUCCUCAACACUAGGCUAAGUUCUUAACACUUAACGUUACAAUAAUCCUAGGAAGUAGGUGCUGAAAUGAUUUUCCCAUUUCUCCAGUAAGAAUGACUGGAUAUUUUGUACCUUGUGCAAGAUCACUUGAUAUCUGACAGAGCUGGGAUUAGAAGCAAGGCAGUUUGGCUCUGUAUUUUUUAGACUUGUGUUUUUUAAAACCACUAGAAUUCCAGUAAUUCAUGGGCGUACUACCAUCAUACGAAUUUUCCCCUCAAGGCAAAGGUGGAUUUUGAAAUUCAAGGUUGUUUAAUGGGUGCACAAUACAAGUUUAGGGGAUUAAAAUGAAAAAUGAACAUACUUUUAGCCUGUGGGUAAGAUAUUACCUCUAACUUACUUCAUCUGGUGUUAUUACUGUAGUCCCACCAGGGUGAUUUGAGUGUAACUCCCUUCCCUGUAGGCUGAAGGGUACAUUUCUCCAUUUAUCAAUUCAAAAUUGUUGUAUUAAAUGUCUGCCUACCAUAUGUCAGACAUUGUAGUGGGUACAAGGAUUCAGUGAAAAUGAAAGAAAGAUAGAAGCUCUUUUAGAAAAAUUACUUUCUAGCAUGUAACUAGGAGCUAAAGAGUUGUGAAUGGUGGUUAAUUGAUUGGUUAGCAGCUUCAAAGAGGAGUGUUUUGAGGUGCUAAAUAUUUUGUGACAGCUGAGGAACUAGCAGAGGGAGACUUAAAAACUAAUUAACAUGUACUCCACGAUCUGAUGAACCUCCGUCUCCUAUUUCUCUCUCUGUUUCUGUGUCUCUGGUCUUCUCUUCCUGUAUGCAUCCCCCAUAUUGCUCUCCUCUUUCACUGUUUUCUCUUAAAAUGUAAUCACAUAUAAUGUAGCUAAAUGAAGUAUCCUUAUUAUUGUUUCUUCUCCCCAUUGGUCUAGAAGGCUGAGGUACAUAGAGAAUUUUUUUUAAAAAUUUCAACUCCAGAGUAACAUGUCAGUCCUUUUGAAGAGAGGAGACCUCAUUUUCAGCCAAGGGGCUACUGCCAAAUGGCUGUGCAUCCAGAAGGCAGUGGGAAUGGGAAAAGGAGCAGGAAUACUGGUGAUCCCCCAAAGCCAAUGGAGGUAUCCGUAAGAGGAAGAGACAGCUUUAAUCAUAUGUCAGUUGCAAAGAGAACUGAAGCCAAAUUUCCACAUUACCAAUCAGUGAGAAAGUUCUUAACUCAUUCGACUUCAUUCCUCUUUUCCUUUGUAUAUUUUUCUGAAGCUAGAGAGGAAAGACCAAUGAUAAUCUCCUUUCCCAACCAGGGGAAAGAGGGAAGUUCUAAUAUUAAGUCAGUAUUAAAGUUUUGACUAUUACACAGGUCAGGGCAUUAUAAUGACAAGAUUAAGACUGGAUUGUGCAACUAAACAUGAUUUGAGAACAUUUUAUAUUGUCAAAAAGUGAUCAGAAAUUUAUGGGGUUAUCUUCAUCGUUGGGCAGGGAAUGAGCCAGCCCAGAAGACCAAAUGAAAGGGACAAGAAGACAAGCAUAAUUUUGCUUUCUGAAAAAUUUACUUUAGAAUUUUACUCCCUGCAUUAAGAAAGCUAAACUUGCCCGUAUAUGAGAAUAUCUCCAGGAUGUAUACUCGGAGCAGAUUUGGUGAGUUAUAAAUUAUUGACAUGUUUUUAUAUAUGUAUAUAUGUAUAUGUUAUAUAUAUAUGUUAUAUGUGUGUGUGUAUAUGUAUAUAUAUAUAUAUAUAUACUUUUAAUAUAAUGCUAAUUAUUUCAAAUCAGAAUAGCCUUAACGUUUCUCUCAGCUUCAUUAAACUUUAGCAGACUUCCUCCUGUGUCUUGGGCCCUGACCUCUCUCUCACCCCCUCACCCCAGCCAGGUGGCCCAAACACAGUGGUCCUUCCCCUCCCUUAUCUUACAGCAUUUAUUAAGAAAACACAUGCUUGUAAAUCCUUUCUUUUCCUCUUGAGAUGUCAUUCUUUUAGGCAUCUUUUGCCAGUUGAACAGCCCAGGAAUGUGUUUCUCAAAGACCUGAGAGCCCCUCUCUUUGAAAAGAAAUUUUCAAGGAAGAGAGGGCACUAUUUUCCAGUCCCUGUGGACCCUAAAUUCAGGGGGACAUUGGUCCAAGUUGCAAAACUACCGUCCGUCAUAGAAAUAGAAGAACGCUUACUUCUCCUUUGGAAAAUCUCAGCAAACACAGAUGGGCCGGGAUUCCUCUAAUCACAGCUACAAAAUCCUCUGCCACCCUUUGCUUUGGUUAGUUGAGUUCAGCCUGAACUCAGGCCUCUCUCUCCCACAGCAAUAACUUUGAAUGAAGUCUUACAUGUCUGUCUGACAGAGCAGUCGCUGGUCCUGUAGAGUUCUGAAUUUCUCCUGGGCAAAUGUUGUCAGGUCCAUGUAGCCUAGAGCAGGAUCUGCACAGGUUGGCCCAUCAAGCUAGAUCCUGCCACUCAUUGUCUUUUUUAUGAUCUGGGAACUGAGGAAGGCUUUUAAGUUUAAAAGAGUUAAAAACAAAAUGAAAGCAAAGAAAAAUAUGCAGAGACCACAGGUGGCCAGCAAGCCUGAACUAUUUACUAUCCAUUCCUUUACAGGGAAAAUGGGCCCACCUCUGCCCUAAAGCUAGGGGGGGACCUUUUGGUGCCUGGUCAGCUUUCCCAGUGUGCUGUCUGCCUGUAGGAAUUUAGAAGCCCUGAGAGUUUUUCUCUCUUGAAGUGGUUUCAGUUUUCUUUCAUCCAGGCUGCCAGGGCAUUAGCCAAUUCAACAUUUUCAAAAACUCUGUAGCUGUUAUUUUAUAUCAAUUCUAGAGGUGCAGGAUGCAUCAGACUUCUGUGUAACCACACCUUUAACCAUCCUAGAACCUUCUUUGGCUGAGCGUAUCUGAGGUGCUCAUGUUAAUUCUUUCAGAGUUUUUUAGAAAUGGGCUUUCCAGUUAUAAUCUUGUUUUUGUCUUUUGCCUGAGGCCAUGUUUUCCUGGCCCUAUCCCUACCCCCUCUUCCAUAUUUGGUUUCUGUCCUGAAGUUGAUUUUGUGAGAAAUAGUUUUAUUUCUCAUCCCUUUAAUUUCUGGCCUGACUAUGUUGCAGCAAAGAUUGUUACAGCUCAGUGUUACAGCUUAGUUGUGACAGCCACCUGGAUCUGGGUGAGACCAAGCAGUACUUGGAGGGUUGGAGAACUCAGGUUUAUUACGCCAGUGGGCCCAAAGGAGUUAAUAUUCCAAGCUCUGGACCCUGUCUGUAGGUUUACAUAGGCUUUUAUAGGCUGCUGGUCAAGACUUUGCCACAUCAUAUGCAAAUAAGAUGUAACAAAAGUUGACUCAUUAGGAAUGAGCUUUGUAGAACUGGACCAGUCAGGAGUGAUAGAAAUGGACCAAUCAGAAGUGACAGAAAUGGACCAAUCAGGAGUUAGCUCAGGGAACCAAUGGAAUCUUAGGGUUAAGUUCCGCUUUCCUAGAAGCAAGCCAUUUUAGAUGCAAAAAGCGUGAUAAUGCCACUGGGCCAGGGAACUGGAUGGUGCUGGCAGGAGAGUAGUGGCCCUGCCUGAGGGUCCUGCCGAUCUUUUUCAUGGGGCUUCCCAGCUCAACUAUAUUCUCUUCAAAUUCUGUUCCCAACUGGCCACUUUCUUUCUGAGCUCAAUUCUUUCUUUUUAGUACCUUAUCAAAUGCAUCCAAUAACAACACACAUUUUCAGAAUCUUCUUAAAAUUACCUCUUCCUACCCUUUUAAGGUCAUUAGGUAGAUUUUAUUCCUUCCAUGUUAUCACAGGCAGUGGUUUUUACUAAGUGUUUUCCCACUCAUAUAGGUCACCAUUUUUAUAGUUGCUUUAACUGUUUCUUCAGUGCCUACCACUUGGUGUCAAAUCCUUUGUCACACGUUUGAGAAUUUUAUUACCACAAGACCUCAUUUCUAGUUACCAAUCUCUGAGUUUAUCAACUAUUGUCAUAACAGUGCUGACUAAUUACAUGAAAUUCAGUAGCUUGAAACAGCAUUGACAUAUUCUUGGUGCAGAAUCUAUGAGUGAGAUAAGAUUGAGAGAUUGACAGAUUUUGGCUGAGUUUUUCCACUAGACUAGGCUGGGCUUGGUUCAGUAGGUUCUCCAAGACAUCUUCUUGUGAUGGAUAGCAGAAACAUAAAAAUGCAAGUGCAGCUGCACAAGCACAUGAAGGUCUCUAGUUAUAUCAUUGCCAAUCACCUCUGGUCUAAGAAGUUCCCAUGGACGUGCCCAAAGGCCAAGGGGCAGAGAAAUACACUCUAGAAAAAUAAAGUUAUGGUUAAGGGUGUGAAUAUAAGGAAGAGUGAAAGACUAAGACCCAUAAUUCAUUCUCCUACUGAAGGUAAUUGAUACAGAGUGCAAAUAAUGCAAACCCAUUCCAACAUUUAUAGGUGGCUCUGAAUAAUGAAUAAGAACAUUCAGAAGAGAAGUGGAAAUCAAUGUCAUUUAAAAAAAUAUCAGAACUGAAAAAAGAAAUGACACAGCUGUGUAUUUCUGAAGUGCUUACCCUAUUAUACAAUUAAAUGAACUCAACUCAAUCAAAAAAGAACUAUAAAAUAUACUCCAGGAAAGGCAAAAAUAGGAAAUAAUAAAGAGAAAAGUAUAAAUGAAUGCAUUUGAACAUAGAAAAGGGAAUAUAUUGUAAACAUGUCCUUGAACUUAUUUUAGAAAAACAUAAUAGAAAAGUCCUGGCAGAUCAAAUUAAGGACAAAAGAGAGGAAGUGUAAAUAAGUAAAAAUUAGAAGUAGAAGGAGCACAGACAUGUGCAUUUAAAAAAUGAUUUUAUUAAAAUUUGAUCUCAAUAAAAUAAUUACAUAGUGAUUAUAGAGAUUAGAUUUCAAAAAUAUAUGUUUCUUAAACUGGUUAAUUAAUAAUUCUCUAGUAAAUAUUAUGUCUUCAAGUAUGAAGAAAAAGUGUAAAAUGUCAUGAAAAUUUGUACCUCAAAGAAUUCUUUUGACUUAACCAUAAUAAAACAUCUAACUUUCAUUGUUGAUGAAGUGUCAACCUAUGUGCUAUAUGCUUUGCAUGAUUAAUAUGUUAUAUAUGUCAGAAUAUAAUGGAAGUUUUAUAAUCCCUCUAUGACAAGUGAGAAAACUAAAGUUCAGAAGGUAAAAAAUUUACCUGAGGCUGCCCAGUUUGGCAGGCACGUUUGGGAUUUGGAUGGAGGUAGCUGGAUUGAGAGCUUCUGCUUUUAAUCACAGUGCCACUCCUGAUUUUGGGGCACUUAAAAAAUUUCUUUUUUACUUCUGAAGUUUUAAGAAAGCAUAAAAGUGAAAAGUGUGAGGAUGUAAAAGUUAUUUUUCCUUUAGGGAAACGUUUCUAAAACACAAAUUAAAAAAUCAAAUGUUGAAGUAGAAAAAAAUUACAAA